RNAcentral lists this ribosomal RNA (1019 nucleotides) under Motyxia kerna. RNAcentral's name for it is "eukaryotic LSU rRNA". It matches the Rfam family "Eukaryotic large subunit ribosomal RNA", at positions 130 to 786 of the family's 3401-position model. The record is from RNAcentral. Lineage: Eukaryota; Metazoa; Arthropoda; Diplopoda; Polydesmida; Xystodesmidae.
UUGGCAGGGUGCAAUGUGGUGUUCGGGAGGGUCCAUUCGUGCCUUGAGCUCUGGUGUCCAAGUCCCCCUGACCGGGGCCAUCGCCCGUUGAGGGUGCAAGGCCUGUUGGGCAGGGCUGUGUCUCCGAUCUCGGCGCGUUGGGUCCCUUCCUUGGAGUCGGGUUGCUUGAGAGUGCAGCCCAAAGUGGGUGGUAAACUCCACCUAAGGCUAAAUACUUUCCACGAGACCGAUAGCAAACAAGUACCGUGAGGGAAAGUUGCAAAGAACUUUGAAGAGAGAGUUCAAGAGUGCGUGAAACCGUUCGGAGGUAAACGGGUGGGAGCGCGAAGGUCGAACGGACGGGGAGGGAUUCAACUUGGCGUGGCGGCUGGCCUGGCUCUUCGCGUCUGGGCGCGCCGGCCUCCCUUCGCGGGGAGGUGUCGGUCGUCCCGCGUGGUGGCCGUGGCCGUAGUCCGCCGUGCCUUGUGCAUUUCCCUGUUCCCCCUCUCCUAGUAGGACGCCGCGACCGGCUGUCGAGGGGAGCCCAGGAGCUGGUCGGAGCAGUUGCGCGGACGAGUAAGGGAUUCGUUCCCUGCGUCCGGUCUGUCUGUCUCCUUCCGCCCGCGGGUCGCUCCCUCCGGCCGAGGAACUGUGCGAGCUGGGCCCUUCGGGGUCCCUCGUCCAUGUGCGUGCCCACGAUCUGUCGGUGCGGGUCGAAAGAUCCCAACGGGUGGCGGCGGGUGGCCGAGCGCCAGUCGAGAGACUGCGCGUUUGGACUCCGCGUGUCAGCCGCCGUCGGUCAGGGUGCGGACUCCCGCUUUGGGGCGCUGGGGGUCGGCGGCGAGUAGGUCGGUUUCCCACCCGACCCGUCUUGAAACACGGACCAAGAAGUCUAACGUGUGGGCGAGUCUUCGGGGACAUUUUGAACCCUUAGAAGGCGAAAUAAAAGUGAAGGCUGGGUCGUUCCGCCGCCUCCCUCCGGGGUUGCGCUGGCGUGAGCGGCCCGCCCGAGUGGGAUCCCCCGUCUUAUGGCGGGGGCG